UUCUCCGAUGAUGAUGAAAAAAUUACUUUCGUUCUUCUGAAGUUCACACUGUGGAAGAACAAUUUGGAGACCUGAACUGAGGAGAU
RNAcentral lists this small nucleolar RNA (86 nucleotides) under Dichanthelium oligosanthes. RNAcentral describes it as "Small nucleolar RNA Z159/U59". It matches the Rfam family "Small nucleolar RNA Z159/U59". Rfam says of the family: This family consists of several snoRNA Z159 or U59 sequences which are members of the C/D class of snoRNA which contain the C (UGAUGA) and D (CUGA) box motifs. This family seems to be found exclusively in rice. C/D box small nucleolar RNAs are known to act as a methylation guides for 18S ribosomal RNA in plants. The record is from Rfam by way of RNAcentral. Lineage: Eukaryota; Viridiplantae; Streptophyta; Magnoliopsida; Poales; Poaceae.